RNAcentral lists this ribosomal RNA (421 nucleotides) under uncultured bacterium. RNAcentral's name for it is "partial 16S ribosomal RNA". It matches the Rfam family "Bacterial small subunit ribosomal RNA", at positions 360 to 773 of the family's 1533-position model. The record is from RNAcentral.
AAUAUUUGACAAUGGGGGCAACACUGAUCCAGCCAUGUCGCGUGUGUGAAUAAGGUCUUCGGAUUGUAAAGAACUUUAAGUUUGGAGGAAGGGAUUUAGGUUAAUACCCUGAAGUUUUGACGUUACUUACAGAAUAUGUACCGGCUAACUCUGUUCCAGCAGCCGCGGUUAUACAGAGGGUGCAAGCGUUAAUCGGAAUUACUGGGCGUAAAGCGCGCGUAGGUGGUUCAGUAAGAUGGGUGUGAACUCCCCGGGCUUAACCUGGGAACUGCUUUCAUAACUGCUGAGCUAGAGUACGGUAGAGGGUAGUAGAAUUUCCUGUGUAGCGGUGAAAUGCGUAGAUAUAGGAAGGAACACCAGUGGCGAAGGCGACUACCUGGACUGAUACUGACACUGAGGUGCGAAAGCGUGGAGAGCAAAC